AACGAACGCUGGCGGCAUGCCUAACACAUGCAAGUCGAACGAGACCUUCGGGUCUAGUGGCGCACGGGUGCGUAACGCGUGGGAACCUGCCCUUAGGUUCGGAAUAACUCCCCGAAAGGGGUGCUAAUACCGGAUAAUGUCUUCGGACCAAAGAUUUAUCGCCUUUGGAUGGGCCCGCGUUGGAUUAGCUAGUUGGUAGGGUAAAAGCCUACCAAGGCGACGAUCCAUAGCUGGUCUGAGAGGAUGAUCAGCCACACUGGGACUGAGACACGGCCCAGACUCCUACGGGAGGCAGCAGUGGGGAAUAUUGGACAAUGGGCGAAAGCCUGAUCCAGCAAUGCCGCGUGAGUGAUGAAGGCCUUAGGGUUGCAAAGCUCUUUUACCCGGGAUGAUAAUGACAGUACCGGGAGAAUAAGCUCCGGCUAACUCCGCG
Molecule: ribosomal RNA, 433 nt
Filed under: uncultured bacterium
Lineage: Bacteria
Description: partial 16S ribosomal RNA
Rfam family: Bacterial small subunit ribosomal RNA
Source: RNAcentral